ANAGUUUGAUGCUGGCUCAGAUUGAACGCUGGCGGCAUGCCUAACACAUGCAAGUCGAACGGUAACGCGAAGAGCUUGCUCUUUGGCGACGAGUGGCGGACGGGUGAGUAAUGCUUAGGAAUCUGCCCAGUAGUGGGGGACAACUCGGGGAAACUCGAGCUAAUACCGCAUACGCCCUACGGGGGAAAGCGGGGGAUCUUCGGACCUCGCGCUAUUGGAUGAGCCUAGGUCGGAUUAGCUUGUUGGUGAGGUAAAGGCUCACCAAGGCGACGAUCCGUAGCUGGUCUGAGAGGACGAUCAGCCACACUGGGACUGAGACACGGCCCAGACUCCUACGGGAGGCAGUAGUGGGGAAUAUUGGACAAUGGGCGCAAGCCUGAUCCAGCAAUGCCGCGUGUGUGAAGAAGGCCUGCGGGUUGUAAAGCACUUUCAGUAGAGAAGAAAAGCUUAAGCUUAAUAAGCUUGAGUCUUGACGUAACCUACAGAAGAAGCACCGGCUAACUCCGUGCCAGCAGCCGCGGUAAUACGGAGGGGGCUAGCGUUGUUCGGAAUUACUGGGCGUAAAGCGCGCGUAGGCGGGCUGGAAAGUUGGGGGUGAAAUCCCGGGGCUCAACCCCGGAACUGCCUCCAAAACUCCCAGUCUUGAGGUCGAGAGAGGUGAGUGGAAUACCGAGUGUAGAGGUGAAAUUCGUAGAUAUUCGGUGGAACACCAGUGGCGAAGGCGGCUCACUGGCUCGAUUCUGACGCUGAGGUGCGAAAGCGUGGGGAGCAAACAGG
Molecule: ribosomal RNA, 777 nt
Filed under: uncultured Gammaproteobacteria bacterium
Lineage: Bacteria; Pseudomonadati; Pseudomonadota; Gammaproteobacteria
Description: bacterial SSU rRNA
Rfam family: Bacterial small subunit ribosomal RNA
Source: RNAcentral